This 5367-nucleotide long non-coding RNA is filed under the name Triticum aestivum (bread wheat). RNAcentral describes it as "long non-coding RNA (TAES_LNC018582)". The record is from RNAcentral. Lineage: Eukaryota; Viridiplantae; Streptophyta; Magnoliopsida; Poales; Poaceae.
AGAUGCUUGGUGUGAGAAAGGUGUUAGUAAACAACUUGCAUCCUAUUGGUUGCACGCCUUUGCAUACUAGUUCGAACAACUACACCACGUGUGACCUUCUCGGCAAUUAUGGUGCAUCCGUGCACAACAAGUAUCUAAAACAAAUGCUCGAAGAAAGGGACAACGUUCACAUACUGGACCUCUACACCGCUUUCACUAACAUCAUCAAUCAUGCCCCUGGUAAAGUCACAUAUCCGCGUGUAUGUUGUAAGCCAAAUCUGAUUUCCAAUGUAUGAACUUGAUUAUGUAACUAUGCAAAAUUGUUUUUGUGCAUGCAUGCAGGUGGAGGGUCGGCUGAGUCCAAGAAUUUCAAGGGCAAACUGACCCCGUGCUGCGAGAGUGCCUAUAAGGGAGGGUACUGUGGAGAGCGUAGCCAUUCAGGGAAGCGCUUGUACGACCUAUGUGAAACUCCUGACAAGAUGUUCUACUGGGACCAGACACACCCAACACAUGCUGGGUGGGAAGCUGUAAUGAAGGCGCUGCAACAGCCUUUGAUGGAGUUUCUUGAUGAGGACUACGUUGCAUGAUUGGCCUAAAAAAACUACGUUGCAUGAUGCAGCAGCUUGAUGGCUAGCCAGUUGCUGGUGCAAUAUCUUUUAGGUUAUCUUUAUAAAUAGCAUGCGUGUUUAGGAAGAAGGUUGUGAGUUUUUUCUCCUUGUGUUUUGAUGGAGUUUUAGUCAGUACAGUACUCUUUAUUAUGUAUGAAACAUGAACGGGUAUUAAUUUGCUUAUUGUUUUAUCCCCUAUAUAUUAGUUGAGAUUGAAAAGUUGGUCCUAUAUGUGGGUCAAUAUCUAGUAGCAAAUGAGAACGUGCUUGGGCUUAGUGAGAUAUAGCGUGCAUGCAUAUGCAUGGGUUUGAGCUCAUGACAGGGUCAGUAAGAUUAUACUCUAAUCGGUACGCAUGCUCGUUCAUCUGCCCAUGGCGUCGUGCAUGUUGGGGUUGCUAUUAUAUGGCACGGUGCACGGGUUAACCGAGGCCAUGUCCGUCGAGGCGAAGCCAUCCGGCACUGCUCAAUGAACCAGAAAAUAAGGCUGAUGCGAGGUGUGUGACUGACCAUUGGAGUAGACCAUGCGCAGAUAGUUUGCUAGUUAGGAGGGGGUCCCCUAGAAGAUUGUGGUUUCAAAGACUGUGUGGUAACCCUGCGCGUGCUGCACACACAACCCGAUUCUGAGCUGCGAGCCGAGGAGGAGGCCGCGAUGCACGACCCUUCCAAAUGACUUCACCAUGCGCCCGCUAGAUUGAGCUAUUUAGUCUGCAAGUGCAGUAACGUUGCUCUUGUAUACAUCUUGUGACCCCGUUUUUAUUAUAUCUGACUUAAUUUUUUGUUUGUCCGAAAAAUAUGGUGACGUCCUUCCUGAACUGAUUGGUAUGAAGCCCUUCAACCCCACAUUGAUCGCUUUCUUGCAAGAAUCAAAACUCAAAAAAAAAUUGACAACCAAAAGGCUAAGUAGUUCCUCCCUCAUAAAUAAACCCGGCAACAGGCCAGUUCCUAUGGCGGAAUUCUCUGGCGCUAUAUGUUCCAAGCACUUAAUCCGGUUCCUGUUGUCCACCACUUUCCAAACCCAUCUUUCCUAAUGUUUUUGUCUCCACCGUAGCCUCCCUUUAACCAAUCUUCCUCUCAAAAAGCUAUGAUAAAGGGUGCUUUCCUCCUUCACUUGACAUCGCCCCUCUUAAUGUGUAUAUAUCCCUGGCUUGUCCUUGUGCAUUUCAACGUGAUGAGAGACCCAUUGCACAAAGAUUACUCAUCCUUCCGGGAAGCUGCAGCUAAUAAAUUAAAUAGUGCUAUUAAUUUGCAAGCAAAGCGACCCCUCCUAAACCGAAGGUAUACCUGGUCAAGCAACAGAGAUUACCCGAAUUGAAAAUAAUUGAUAGGGUCUUUUUUAACUAAGCCAUGGAAAAUAUAUUCCUACCCUUUCCUGCCUUACUCGAUUUUUCUUUGAGCCCAUCCAUUGGUAAUUUCAGUGGCCACCAACAUUCUGUGUGCCAAAACCUCUAGGUUCGAAAAUGCCUAGGGCGUAAACCUGGCAUGGCAUAUGAAGUUAUCCACUUGCCAUGGAGUCAAGAUCAUCACAAUUUAAAUUAGGCAUAUAUAGCUUCAUUACUGCCCUCAAAUGCACUCAAUACAUGCUAAAACAUUGGCGUGAAAACUUUCUUGGCCAUUCUGAAACACAGUCUAAAAUUGGCAUAUCUAUCAUAAACUCCACCGUAAAAUCCACUAUUCUAUAAUGCAUCUGGAAAGCUAACUUAUUUAAGCCGUUGUCGUUCCCCACCAUCAUGCAAUCAAACAGAAAGUUAAGCACUGGAGGAAACAGGGAAAAGGUCGUGCCACAAUUGAUUGUUGAAGUUUUAUGGGCUCUAGGCACAUAUAACAAACAAAUCAUGGAAAAUCUCAAAGCCCCGGUACUGUUUACAGGACUUAAAAAUUGCGCUAUUAUAGGUAAUACACAAGGUAUGUACCUUAAGUUGGUAUUUCAAAAUUUAGACGAUACAUGUAGUUCGAAUUAUAAUAUACUCUUUUCGGGCUGAAAAUAUACAGAAUUGGUUAAAAAUUAUUUUUGUCUGAAUUUAAAGACCUUAUUUGAGAUACAUGUAGUUCAGAUUUCAAUUAUAUCCAAUAAAGAGUUGAGCAGUCAUUUAAUACCUAAAUAGGAUCAAAUGAUUUAAAAUAUCAUAAAUUUUACAUUAAUAGUAUAAUUUAGUACUCCCUCCGUCUCGGUUUACAGGGCGUGCACGUAGUUCUAGGUCAUCGAUUUGACUAGCUAAUUAUGAGUUAUAUGUCACCAAAAGUAUAUCAUUGGAUUCUUAAGCGGAUGUAGUUUCCAAACAUAUAUUUUCAUCAAAUAUAAUACAAUUUAGUUAGCUAAAUUGUCGACCUAGAAUGACGCGCAUGCCUUAUAAACCGAGACGGAGGAAGUAUGUUGCAGGUAGAAUUUUUGGAGUAAUAUAGAUUAAAACUGAAUGUACUACACAAGGUACUUUGUAUUUAAAAAUACAAUAUGGAACAGAAAUUUUAUAUUAUUGAAUGCUAAUGUUAAAGGAAGUUCUUCCCUACUACCUCCGUCCUGGUUUAUUGGUCCCCUCGUAUUUUGCUUCAAAUUUUGACAUCAAAUUUAACUACCAAAAUGUUAAUGCAUGUCAUCAAAAAUAAUAUCAUUAGAAACUAUGUUCAAAUAGGAAUCCAACGAUAAAAUUUUUGGUGACAUGCAUUAACAUUUUGUUAAUUAAAUCCCUAGUCAAAAUUUGGCACAAAAUAAGAAGGGGCCAAUAAAGCAGGACGGAGGUAGUAAAUUCUAAGUGAAGAUGAUGAAGAAAAUGCUUUGUCGAGUACAAACUUUGUAGUGCAUGUUAAAUGAUGUGAUGAAUUUCUAGAGAUGCAUCAGUUAUAAAGCAUGGUUGUAAUUUAAAGACUUGAUAGGUGGCUGCAAUGAGGCAUGGUGGCACAAAACACAAACGAUGGAGAUAACAAGGUCACACAACGCCCCCGCGUCGCUCCCAAGAGUGACUCAAACGGAACCCUAGGGUCGCCGCCACCUCCCGUCUUCUCCCUCCUCCUGACCAUCGUUGACUCACGCCACUGGGCCAAGCCCGUUGGUGGCCAAUGGCGGUGGGAUUCCUCUCGCUGGCUUGCUGCAGGUCGGGGGCGCGACGCUCCGAUGGCAGCGGGGAUCCAGCUAGUGUUAGUUGCUGGUGGCGGCCACCUCCCAAGGCCGGGCCGGCAAAAUCCGAGGCCAUGUGACAAACUCUAAAACAGGCCCUACCACACAAAAAAUCCGAGGACCUUAUGUUCAGAAUUUCCCCUCUAACUGCCUAGGUCAGCAUUAUUAUCACGUGCACUCUCUUGAUCAAGUGACUGCUUAUCGGACACUACUAGGGAAAUGCUUAUAGGUAGGGCAUCAGUAGUAGCGCUGGUCUAGGGCAGCGCUACAAGUAAUGCUUUAGCAGUAGUGCUGUAAAAGGGAAAAAGCACUACUACUAAGUGGGACCCAACGAGCCCACCGAUGCUAGCUGUAGUAGUAGCGCUGUCCAAAAUACAGUGCUACUACUAAGGUUUUAGCUAGGGCUGGAAAAAAAGCUCGAAGCUCGCGAGCUAAACGAGCAGCUCGUAACUCGGCUCGAAUUGACUCGAACUCGAAGAAUAACGAGUCGAGCUGAGCUUUGGUUUAAGAUCGUUUAUAGACCGAGUUAAAUGAGUGAACGGAUCGAUAUAGUUGACUAGAGGGGGGUGAAUAGGCAACUAACAAUUUUUAGCUUUUCUUUACCAAUUUAAACUUUGCAUCAAAGUAGGUUGUCUAGAUAUGCAACUAGGUGAGCAACCUAUAUGAUGCAACAACAACAAACGCACGAGCAAGAAAGGGAUACAACACAAUAUAAGCGUGCACAAGUAAAGGUAAGAGAUAACCAAGAGUGGAGCCGGUGGAGACAAGGAUGUGUUACCGAAGUUCCUCCCUUUUGAGGGGAAGUACAUCUCCGUUAGAGCGGUGUGGAGGCACAAUGCUCCCCAAGAAGCCACUAGGGCCACCGUAUUUUCCUCACGCCCUCACACAAUGCGAGAUGCCGUGAUUCCACUAUUGGUGCCCUUGAAGGCGGCGACCGGACCUUUACAAACAAGGUUGGGGCAAUCUCCACAACUUAAUUGGAGGCUCCCAACAACACCACAAAGCUUCACCACAAUGGACUAUGGCUCCGCGGUGUCCUCAACCGUCUAGGGUGCUCAAACACCCAAGAGUAACAAGAUCCGCUAGGGAUAAGUGGGGGAAAUCAAAUUUCUCUUGGUGAAAGUGUAGAUCGGGGCCUUCUCAACCAAUCCCGAGCAAAUCAACAAGUUUGAUUGGCUAGGGAGAGAGAUCGGGCGAAAAUGGAGCUUGGAGCAACAAUGGAGCUUUUGGGGGAAGAGGUGGGUCAACUUUGGGGAAGAAGACCCCCUUUUAUAGUGGGGGGAGCAAUCCAACCGUUACCCCCCACUUCAGCCCCGCAGAGAGCGGUACUACCGCUUGGCCAGCGGUACUACCGCUCUUCCUCGCGGUACUGCCGCUGGGCCGAGAGCGGUCCUACCGCGCUGGUCAGGGCGGUACUACCGCACACGAGCGGUACUNNNNNNNNNNNNNNNNNNNNNNNNNNNNNNNNNNNNNNNNNNNNNNNNNNNNNNNNNNNNNNNNNNNNNNNNNNNNNNNNNNNNNNNNNNNNNNNNNNNNACGUGUGACCUUCUCGGCAAUUAUGGUGCAUCCGUGCACAACAAGUAUCUAAAACAAAUGCUCGAAGAAAGGGACAACGUUCACAUACUGGACCUCUACACCGCUUUCACUAACAUCAUCAAUCAUGCCCCUGGU